Molecule: signal recognition particle RNA, 301 nt
Filed under: Saimiri boliviensis boliviensis (Bolivian squirrel monkey)
Lineage: Eukaryota; Metazoa; Chordata; Mammalia; Primates; Cebidae
Description: Metazoan signal recognition particle RNA (ENSSBOG00000002015.1)
Rfam family: Metazoan signal recognition particle RNA
About the family: The signal recognition particle (SRP) is a universally conserved ribonucleoprotein. It is involved in the co-translational targeting of proteins to membranes.
Source: RNAcentral
GUUGGGUGCAGUGGCGCAUGCCUGUAGUCCCAGCUACUCAGGAGGAUGAGGUGGGAGGAUCGCUUGAGCCCAGAAGUUCUCGGCUAUAGUGUGCUAUGCCGAUCAGGUGUCCAAACUAAGUUCAGCAUCAAUAUGUUGACCUCCCAGGAGCAGGGAACCACCAGGUUGCCUAAAGAGGGGUGAAGCGUCCCAGUUCAGAAACAGAGCUGGUCAAAACUCCCGUGCUGAUCAGUAGUGGGAACUCACCUGUGAAUAGCCACUGCACUCCAGCCUGGGCAACAUAGUGAAGACCCCCAUCUCU